Zophobas morio is the source of this 1171-nucleotide long non-coding RNA. RefSeq lists it as uncharacterized. The transcript is spliced from 2 exons. Lineage: Eukaryota; Metazoa; Arthropoda; Insecta; Coleoptera; Tenebrionidae. The record is from RefSeq and is a predicted model, not a curated record.
GUAAAGUAAGGUUAGAAUUUAGAAUGCGCGGCAGUUCAUAAUUCAAAAAUUCUACUAUGGGUUUCUUAUGGGAGCUUGAUUUUACAGACAAAAUACACCGCACAGGUAGAAAUCUUAACUAGUUCAUGCUACAAGCGAUAAAGACUGUACAAUUAUCUUCCUGUUACUAAAGGUUUAACUAUAUAAAAAGCUUGUGUUAAAAAAAUAUCGCAAAUUAAAAACAACGUUGUUCAUCAAAGUAACGUACAUCGUUUCUAAUGCCUUGCGCAUGAGUGAAACGGAAAAUCCAGAAACACGCCGAACAGAAAAGGAACGCGAAUGUUUUGGAGGGCCAGUGACGUUUAGAUCGUGAAAAUCCCCAAAAUAUGACAGUUGAUUUCGUAUUUUCAUCACAACAAACAAUCAUAAUCACAAUUUUUGGAUGAUAUAUUAGUUCUGUGAUAUUGGUUCACAUUAGGUUGUAUAUGUCUGUGGACUGGUUUUAUUGUAUUUGUUAUUAAUAGUGACAGAAAGACAUGCGUUAACAAUAGGGGCAAUUACCAGUUUUUUUUUUGUUGACGAUCGGAAAUGCAUUGUGAACGGAUAAAAUUCUUUGCAGUCAAAUAAUGCAGUGAAAGUCACUUGGUAUACUGAAUUAAAUGUGCUUGAAGAGUUUAUUCGAGCUAGAAUGCGAAAUAGCCAAUGAUAUUCCUUAAGAGAGGCAACAAGUGAAACCACAAGAGGUGCAUUUGUAUGUCACCAUAUGGCUACACCUGCCCUACACGGGCGUUAUAAUUUAUUUUGGACCAAUAAUUUGCGUUCUUGGAACGUACAUCUGAAGAAAAGUGAAUCAGCCGAGGUCAGAGCUGUGAUCUCCGAAAAUUCUUUUAAUCCCCAAGUCAACCUAAAAACAGCUAAUGUUGAGGUACAACUUUAUGAAAGCUUACGACAAACUGAUGGGAGCGAAGCACUGCUUUGGCUAUUGGGCCCUGAACCAGAAAGAUCUGAAGAAAAUCUACUUCACAGUGUCGAAGAACUAUUAGUGUCCGAGGACUAUUUAAAUGGCCCAUCAAUAUAACAGUUUGUGGGUCAGUUUUUCACCAAAAGUGAAUCAGAUUUUGCAUUAGGCGGUGCAAUUUUUUAUUGUAGAAUAUAUUUUUUUUGUUUUGAAAUAAAUUGGUCUUUAAAUUGU